CACGGGGGUUGCGAGCGUUGUCCGGAAUUACUAGGCGUAAAGGGCAGGCAGGCGGAUCCAUAAGUUUAUCGUUUAAGGCGUCGGCUUAACCGGCGUAGGGCGGUAGAUCCUGUGGAUCUGGAAUGCGGUUGGGGAAGACAGAAUUCCUGGUGUAGCGGUGGAAUGCGCAGAGAUCAGGAGGAAUACCGAAGGCGAAGGCAGUCUUCCAAGCCGUUAUUGACGCUCAACUGCGAAGGUGUGGGUAUCAAACAGGAUUAGAUACCCCCGUAGUCCCUGAGCGGG
Molecule: ribosomal RNA, 282 nt
Filed under: uncultured prokaryote
Description: partial 16S ribosomal RNA
Rfam family: Bacterial small subunit ribosomal RNA
Source: RNAcentral